Molecule: ribosomal RNA, 253 nt
Filed under: uncultured bacterium
Lineage: Bacteria
Description: partial 16S ribosomal RNA
Rfam family: Bacterial small subunit ribosomal RNA
Source: RNAcentral
AACGUAGGACACAAGCGUUAUCCGGAGUUACUGGGCGUAAAGAGCGUGUAGGCGGCCAGGUAGGUCUGCUGUGAAAACUCGAGGCUCAACCUCGAGACGUCGGCGGAAACCAUCUGGCUAGAGUCCGGAAGAGGAGAGUGGAAUUCCUGGUGUAGCGGUGAAAUGCGCAGAUAUCAGGAAGAACACCCGUGGCGAAGGCGGCUCUCUGGGACGGUACUGACGCUGAGACGCGAGAGCGUGGGGAGCGAACAGG